RNAcentral lists this ribosomal RNA (542 nucleotides) under Coelogynoporidae gen. sp. Its description in RNAcentral is "SSU rRNA". It matches the Rfam family "Eukaryotic small subunit ribosomal RNA", at positions 16 to 558 of the family's 1831-position model. Lineage: Eukaryota; Metazoa; Platyhelminthes; Proseriata; Coelogynoporidae. The record is from RNAcentral.
GCCAGUAGUCAUAUGCUUGUCUCAAAGAUUAAGCCAUGCAUGUCUAAGUACACACCUUAACACGGUGAAACCGCGAAUGGCUCAUUAAAUCAGCUAUGGUUCCUUAGAUUAUACUAUCCUACUUGGAUAACUGUAGUAAUUCUAGAGCUAAUACAUGCAAGAAAGCCCUGACUUACGGGAAGGGUGCAUUUAUUAGAUCAAAACCAACGACUUUGUCCGUUGGCUUGAUGACUCUGGAUAACUUUUCUGAUCGCACGGCCUAUGUGUCGGUGACGUAUCUUUCAAAUGUCUGCCCUAUCAACUUACGAUGGUAGGUGAUAUGCCUACCAUGGUUAUUACGGGUAACGGGGAAUCAGGGUUCGAUUCCGGAGAGGGAGCCUGAGAAAUAGCUACCACAUCCAAGGAAGGCAGCAGGCGCGCAAAUUACCCACUCCCAGCACGGGGAGGUAGUGACGAAAAAUAACGAUACGGGACUCAAUCGAGGCCCCGUAAUUGGAAUGANNNNNNNNNAAACCCUUUAACGAGGACCAAUUGGAGCGCAA